RNAcentral lists this ribosomal RNA (253 nucleotides) under uncultured bacterium. RNAcentral describes it as "partial 16S ribosomal RNA". It matches the Rfam family "Bacterial small subunit ribosomal RNA", at positions 524 to 776 of the family's 1533-position model. The record is from RNAcentral.
UACGAAGGGGGCUAGCGUUGUUCGGAAUUACUGGGCGUAAAGCGCGUGUAGGCUGCUCUGCAAGUCGGAUGUGAAAGCCCUGGGCUCAACCUAGGAAGUGCACUCGAAACUGCAGAGCUGGAGUCCUGGAGAGGAAGGCGGAAUUCUCGGUGUAGAGGUGAAAUUCGUAGAUAUCGAGAGGAACACCGGUGGCGAAGGCGGCCUUCUGGACAGUGACUGACGCUGAGACGCGAAAGCGUGGGGAGCAAACAGG